GAUGAACGCUGGCGGCGUGCUUAACACAUGCAAGUCGAACGAAGCACUUAAGAUUGAUUCUUCGGAUGACGUCUUUUGUGACUUAGUGGCGGACGGGUGAGUAACGCGUGGGUAACCUGCCUCACACAGGGGGAUAACAGUUAGAAAUGACUGCUAAUACCGCAUAACCCGAUAGGAUCGCAUGAUCCAGACGGAAAAGAUUUAUCGGUGUGAGAUGGACCCGCGUCUGAUUAGCUAGUUGGUGAGGUAACGGCCCACCAAGGCGACGAUCAGUAGCCGGCCUGAGAGGGUGAACGGCCACAUUGGGACUGAGACACGGCCCAAACUCCUACGGGAGGCAGCAGUGGGGAAUAUUGCACAAUGGGGGAAACCCUGAUGCAGCGACGCCGCGUGAGUGAAGAAGUAUUUCGGUAUGUAAAGCUCUAUCAGCAGGGAAGAAAAUGACGGUACCUGACGAAGAAGCCCUGGCUAACUACGUG
RNAcentral lists this ribosomal RNA (479 nucleotides) under uncultured bacterium. Its description in RNAcentral is "partial 16S ribosomal RNA". It matches the Rfam family "Bacterial small subunit ribosomal RNA", at positions 28 to 507 of the family's 1533-position model. The record is from RNAcentral.